RNAcentral lists this ribosomal RNA (253 nucleotides) under uncultured bacterium. Its description in RNAcentral is "partial 16S ribosomal RNA". It matches the Rfam family "Bacterial small subunit ribosomal RNA", at positions 524 to 776 of the family's 1533-position model. The record is from RNAcentral.
UACGUAGGUGGCAAGCGUUGUCCGGAUUUACUGGGCGUAAAGAGCGCGCAGGCGGUCGUUCAAGUCGGGUGUGAAAGCCCCCGGCUCAACUGGGGAGGGUCACGCGAUACUGCUCGACUCGAAGGCAGGAGAGGGUAGUGGAAUUCCCGGUGUAGUGGUGAAAUGCGUAGAUAUCGGGAGGAACACCAGUGGCGAAGGCGACUACCUGGCCUGUUCUUGACGCUGAGGCGCGAAAGCUAGGGGAGCAAACGGG